RNAcentral lists this long non-coding RNA (436 nucleotides) under Schistocerca americana (American grasshopper). RNAcentral describes it as "uncharacterized LOC124607160". Lineage: Eukaryota; Metazoa; Arthropoda; Insecta; Orthoptera; Acrididae. The record is from RNAcentral.
GCCCAAACCGACGUGUCCAGCGGGCAGCGGCAGGAGUCCAGCCGGCAGCCAAGGCCGCACCGCCCUAUAAGAGCGGCCGCCGGCGCUACCCACAGUAGUCACUGCAGACCGCGCAGCACACACACCUCAAAGCACCAUGAAGGCUUUCGUCUGCUCUUUCCUCGUAGUGCUGCUGGUGGCGGCCGUGUUCGCCCAGGAGAAGGCCAAGGAGACCCUGAAGGGCGCCGAGGCCUACUACGCCUACGCCGCCCCCUACGCCUACAGCGCCUUCGGCUACCCCGCCGUCAGCGCCUACUCCGCCUACCCUUACGCUGCCGCCGGCUACCCCUACUACUACCGCUGAACACGGACACGGCUUCUAUGAGGAUGCAGCUCUUACUUCAUUGACUGCUGUACUCUCUUCCUUCCUUCAAUAAAUACAACUGUAUUACAAAAC